This 6779-nucleotide long non-coding RNA is filed under the name Homo sapiens (human). RNAcentral describes it as "non-protein coding lnc-KANTR-23:12". The record is from RNAcentral. Lineage: Eukaryota; Metazoa; Chordata; Mammalia; Primates; Hominidae.
GUAGGCCCGUGCCCCUGCUCGCGCUGCAGCCCGUGGAAGGGUUCCGUCCAGCGUAUCCUUCAGAUCUUGCUGUAGGCCUCUGGUGUCUGUGCGCGCGCGGCAGGGGCGGCGGCGGCGACGGCCGGAGGUGUACGGUGUAAAUCCAAACCGCUUCCAACUCAAGGCAAGUAACAGCCCACGGUGUUCUGGCAGGAAAACAUCAGCUAAGAAAGGAAACUGGGUCCUAUGGCUUGGACUUUCCAACUCUGACAGACCGGCAGGACAGAAACAACUGGUUCAGGAGCCCUUGCCAGCCUCUAGAGAAAUCCCAGAACACUCAGCCCUGAUGACACAUUAAUACCCUGCACAUAUUGGAGACUGCUGACCACGCAUACUCACCAAGCCACAGACUUGUCUUCCACAAGCACGUUCUUACCUCAGCCACAAAGUGCCCAAGCCACAUGUACUAAAGGUUGAAAUCAGAGACAUGUACAGGGUAUUAAACAGAUACCAAGGGGAACAGUUAACUUGAAUAUAGCUUGAAUAGAAAGUCAAAAUCAGCAACAAGUCUACAAUCCAGUGCUGAUAUCAGAUACAAGCUUCAAGGACAACUUUCUGUGUAUGUUUUUUUUUUUUUUUUUGAGACGUAGUCUCGCCCUGUUGCCCAGGCUGGAGUGCAGUGGUGCAAUCUCGGCUCACCACAACCUCUGCCUCCCAGGUUCAAGUGAUUCUCCUGCCUCAGCCUCCCCAGUAGCUGGGAUUAUAGGCGAAUGCCACCAUGCCUGGCUAAUUUUUGUAUUUUUAGUAGAGACGGGGUUUCAGCAUGUUGGCCAGGCCGGUCUCAAACUCCUGACCUUGUGAUCCACCCGUCUCGGCCUCCCAAAGUGCUGGGAUUAUAGGCGUGAGCCACCACUUCUGGCCACAAAUUUCUUUUUGAAGGCUUAUUCCAGUUUUGUGAGGCUAGCAUGAGGUGUAUGCAUUUGCCAGGGGCAAAUUUAUACUGCUGAAUUAACCCAUGCAACAAAUGCUGCACAUCUGCUCGCAGUCCAUUUAGAGGCAUUUGCGGUAGACAAUGGAGGGGCCAGACUCAUCAUACAUACCUGAUGGCUAACCCACAUGCUUGCAGUCCAUUUAGAGGCAUUUGCAGUGGAUGAUGGAGGGGCCACAUACCUAAUUGCUAAUCCACAUCUGCUGGAAGGUGGACAGUGAGGCCAGGAUGGAACCACCAAUCCACACCGAGUACUUGUGCUCUGGGGGCAUGAUGAACUUGAUCUUCAUGGUGCUGGAUGCCAGCGUGGUGAUGCCAGGGCACAUGGUGGUGCUGCUGGACAGCACUGUGUUGGCGUACAGGUCUUUGCGGAUGUCCACGUCACACUUCAUGAUGGAGUUGAAGGUGGUCUUGUGGAUGCCGCAGGAUUCCAUGCCCAAGAAGGAAGGCUGGAACAGCACCUGCAGACACCAGAACCACUUGUUGCCGAUGGUGAUGACCUGACCUGGCCAUCAGGCAGCUCAUAGCUCUUCUCCAGGGAGGAGGAGGAUGUGGCAGUGGCCAUCUCCUGCUCGAAGUCCAGGGCGAUGUAGCACACCUUCUCGUUGAUGUCGCGCACAAUCUCCUGCUUGGCCGUGAUGGUGAAGCUUGGAAUCAAGCUUGACAUGCAGAGCCAAUAAAAGCCCCUUGGGGAGAACUGGCCUCAUACCUUGUCUACACAGUCCCUGCACAGGGUUCCUAACCUGUGGUUAGUAAAGAAUGUCACUUUCUAACAGGUCUGGAAGCUCCGAGUUUAUCUUGGGAACUCAAGAGGAGAGGAUCACCCAGUUCACAGGUAUUUGAGGAUACAAACCCAUUGCUGGGCUCGGCUUUAAAAGUCUUAUCUGAAAUUCCUUGUGAAACAGAGUUUCAUCAAAGCCAAUCCAAAAGGCCUAUGUAAAAAUAACCAUUCUUGCUGCACUUUAUGCAAAUAAUCAGGCCAAAUAUAAGACUACAGUUUAUUUACAAUUUGUUUUUACCAAAAAUGAGGACUAGAGAGAAAAAUGGUGCUCCAAAGCUUAUCAUACAUUUGUCAUUAAGUCCUAGUCUCAUUAAUUGUUUUCAAGCUUUUCGCCUACAUUUUAGACUAACCCUGCUUAUUCCUGUGAAUCAAGUAGUGGUCUCCUGCAGCUUGGAAGAAAAAAUAAGGGAUGGGUAAUGUAAAAAUCUGGAUCAAUAUACUGGUUCUGGGCAAUUAUCCUGCAAAUUCUGCCAGGUAAUAAAAGUGAGUAGGGUGCCCAUAAUCCGGAAGUUUCUUUGUUUAGGAAAAUAAAAACAAGGAACUUCAUAGACCCCCCCCAAAGGGGAAUUCUAUAUCUUGACAAGUAAAAUUUUAGAUGGAAAUUAUCUACAACACCACACUUACGGAAAUUGCUAUCCUCACUCUAUUAUUUGCAAAAGGGUUAUACACAGUAGCACCUUCUAACUGAAGUAUUAAACAGAGUUUCCAUUGCUGUCGUAUUUUGCUUAAUUAUUAUCCUUAUAGCAGGGAUAAUAGUUACUAACAAAAAGGAAGCAUGAAAGUUUUACUAUCACUGAGCCUGGUAGGACUUUUUAUUGGGUUUAGUGAUGCAGUUUUAAAUGAAACAUGCCGCUUUUGGAUUAAUACCUCUAGUAAAGGAAAAUUUACAGAUACUUAAAAAUCAAAUCAAAAUUAUUGAUAGGCUCAGGAAAAAUGCCAGCUUCAGCCCUGAGUGGCUACAAACCCUCUUUAAUAAAUUCCAGUCUUCUUUAUGGAAUUGGUUAACGCCUUUAUUAAGCCCUCUCUUGCUUAUAUGUCUUGUAUUGAUAUUUGGACUCUGUAUAUACAAUACUAUAACUCGAAUUGUUUCUUCUCGCCUAGAAGCAAUCAAACUCCAAAUGGUGCUGUAAACUGAACCACACAUGGACAGGCCAUUCUUCCGAGGACCCUUAGAUUGAUCCCAGGGGGAGCCCUAGCUGCUAUUCCCCAUUCAACGCCCCUUUUCAGCAGGAAGUAGCCAGAAGGAGUCGCCGCCCAAAAUCCCCUAACAGCAGUUAGUGUGGCAUCUCCACAGGAAGUAAUGUUGUAGGAGUUACUAAGAAAUUAUUUUAGGCAGAUAGAGAGGAAAAGGGGUCCUUGGGAAGUUUUCAUUUUUUAAAGCAUCUCUGGAAAAGUUUCUUGUAAAGCCCCGGCUCUUAGAGCCAGGCUGGCAACCUUUGAUAUGCAAAUGUAAGCCAUUAGAAACCAGGUCCACCCAGGCCAGGUGUGGUGGCUCACGCCUGUAAUCCCAACACUUUGGGAAGCCUAGGCAGGUGGAUCACCUGAGGUCAGGAGUUCGAGACCAGCCUGGCCAACAUGGUGAAACCCCGCCUCUAAUAAAAACACAAAAAACUAGCCAGGUGUGCUGCUGUGUGUCUGUAAUUCCAGCUACUUGGGAGGCUGAGGCAGGAGAACUGCUUGAACCCAGGAGGCAGAGGUUGCAGUGAGCUGAGAUUGCAUCAUUGCACUCCAGCCUGGGCGACAGCAAGACUCUGUAAAAAAAAAAAAAAAAAAAAAAAAAAACAGCCAGGCGUGGUAGCACGCCUGUAGUCCCAGCUACUUGGGAGGCUGAGAUGGGAGGAUCACCCUCGACUGGGGAAGUUGAGGCUGCAGUGAGCUGAAAUCGCACCACUGCACUCCAGCCUGGGUGACAGACUGAGACCCUGUCAAAUAAAUAAUGUAUGUAUGUAUAUAUGUAUGUAUGUAUGUUAACCUCAUCCCAAAACAUCCUCACAGAACAUCCAGAAUAAUGUUUGACCAAAUAUCUGGGCACCAAUGGCACAUUCAAGUUGACACAUAAAAUUAACCCUCACAAUACCGUACUGUACAACUUUUGGAGUGAAGCUGGAAUGUCAUCGCAUUUCCAAGACUAACUCAGUGUCCACAAAUGAUGCUUAAGUCAUGAGGAUCAUCUCGGAUUUGGAUUUGGAUGCCUGUCAAGCCCUCACUCUUCAGACUAAAUGUCUGAUUUGCAUGGAGAAUUAUCAAGAGAAGCAACAAUGCCAAGCAGACUAUUCCAGGUCAAAAUAGUCAAAUUAAUAAUUCAUAAAUUAUUAUAUGUUUUGAAGGUAUUGCAAAAUUAAAGUUGCAAGAACAGUACAGAUAACUUUUUUCCUGAACCAUUUGAGAGUAGGUUGCAGACCUGGUGCCCCAUCAUUUCUGAAUAUUUUAGUGUGCAUUUUCUACAAACAAGGACAUUUUCCAGCAUAACCACAAUGCACCCAUCAAUGUCGUGAAAUUAAUGUUGGUACAUUACUACCACCUAGUCCUCAGACCCUAUUCAAAUUAUACCAGUUAUCAUAAUAGUUUCUUAUAAUUUAUAGCAAAAUGAUCCAAACCAGGAGCAUGCAUUGCAUUUUUAUGAAUUUUUAAAACAAUUAAGUCUGUGUAGUGAGUGAAGCCACAGUGAUAGGAAUAUAUAAAGGCUUUGCAUCUAGAAUUUGUUCUGAAAACCCUGAGAUUCAAGUAGUACAUUAUUUCAUUUACUAUUUUACACAGAGAAGCCCUCAUUUUUAAGAGUUUGCCUUUCUGAUUUCCACCGGAAAUGAUACUAUCAGUAUCAUACUCAGAAUCUUAAUUACAUACAAGGCACUAACCUCUCACCUGUUUUCAGCUUUGUGUAAAGACAAGGGAUCAAAACAUCCCUUUCUGCUAUUUCAUACUUAAGUGUGGGAGCUGAUCCAAAGGAAGAAUAGUUUCAAAAGUUUGUAGCAAAAAAAAUUUAAAAGGUGAAGAUUUUUUCCUUGAAUGAUUCUCACCUGGCAGAUCUAUGGAAAGAUUAGCUGACUCUUUGGAUCCCUGAAUAUAGUUAAUAGAAAUUUGGAAGGACCAUGUCAAAAUUAACUAAUGUGAACUGACAAAGAUUUGGUGUUCAAAGCAAAAAUUAAACUUUGGAAAAGUGAGCAAGUACUUAAUCAGAAACAAAAAAAAAAAAAAGAAAGGAAAAGUUAGGUGAAAAUGGUUUCCAGGUGUUGUUGCUGUUAUAGUUUGAAUCAUAAAAGUUGUUAAAAGUCUGCUGUAACAAACCAUCAUAGACUGGGUGACUUAUAAAGAACAAAAAUGUAUUUCUCACAGUUCCAGAGGCUGGGAAGUCUAAGAUCAAGGCAUCAGCAGAUUCAGUGUCUGGUGAGGGCCCACUUUCUGGUUCAUAGAUGGCACCUUCUCACUGUCUCCCCACGUGAUGGAAGGGGCAAGAGGUCUCUCUUGGUACUCUUUUAUUAAGGGCACUAAUCCCAUCCAUGGGGCUCCACCUUCAUGACCUAUUCAUCUCCCAGAGGCCCUACCUGCAGAUACCAUCGUAUGGGGGAUUUGAUUUCAGCCUGUGAAUUUGGGGGAAGCGGGACAAACAUUCGUUUUGUAGCAAAAGGAGUAGAGUAAUAUCUGCCAAUAACUGGAGGAAAGAAUUGUUCUUUUAAAACUAUUAAAUUGUUUAAUGGGAUUUAAAUGAUUUCAGGAAUGAAAUGGAAAUCCUGGUAAUGGGUAGAAACAUAGGUAAAUUCUCCUUUUCCACUUACCACCACCUGUGUGAACAACAAUCAUUUCUCAUUAAUAGUCAAGAAUUUGAAGAGAUCAUGAGUAAAAAGUCUUGAUCAGAAAUUGUGUAUAGCUGUUUCCAGCAUAAAACCUUAUAUAAAAUGCAUAUUCAUAGAAGAUGCUCAAGUAUGUCAUGAAAAAUAUGAAGUUUAUUUAAAUAUUUAUACAAAUUAAAGAUUUACUGUAUUCUCUAACAGCGCGUAUUUUCUUUUUUGUAAUAACUAUAUGAAAUAAAUACAAAGUAACACGUUUUUACCAAGCCCCCUUCCCAUCCUUCUCAUCACCCUCAAACUCCCUCCAAAUAGAGUCAGAGAAACAGCCAGAGGGAUGUCUCCACUGAGACACAGGGAGGUCUUGCACCCAGGCAGUUCAGCAGUUCCUGGGCGGGUGGCCCUUCCCAUCUGAGUACCCCUCAAUGUGCCUGCUCCUCCUGGGAUCCUUUCUGCUCCCUUGGGCCUCUGUUUUUGGUCUGCAAUGGUUGGUUAUGUAGAGGGAUCAGUAUUGGGGUUGUCCCAAGCCAGGCUACAGGUUGAGCAGGUAGCCACAUAGGCCACAUAGCAGGACGGGCCCAGCUGGGGACUCUGAUGUCUGCAAUUAGGGGUGGCAGGAAGUAAUGGAUGCACAGGCGCUGACUUGGCCUGGCCUUAAGCCUUAGUCUAGCGGAAAGGUCUGGCUGUUUACCUGCCUUCCUAUUUGGAGCUGAUCCCAGGACCAAACGGGAUGCCAUCGUACCAAGGGCAGGGAGAUGAAGGGAGGCCCUCAGAAGAGAAUGAGGCCUAAAUGCCAGGUAAAGGGCAGGAAGGGGUUCAAUCCCAGCAGCACCUCCUGGUGGUAGUUGGGGAAAUAAAAUGGCCAGAGAGGAGACUGGCCCUGAAGGCAUCUCCAGAGCUUGAGUCCCUCAGUAGCCAACCUGAGCUCCUAAACCCCUCUGGACUAGGUCCCCUUCUCCACUUAACCUGCCUCCUCAAGAAAGACAGGAUGGGGCCGGGCACAGUGUGGCUCGCGCCUGUAAUCCUAGCAUUUUGGGAGGCCGAGGCAGGUGGAUCACCUGAGGUCAGGAGUUCGAGACCAGCCUGGCCAACGUGGUGAAACCCCGUCUCUACUAAAAAUUUAAAAAUUAGCCGGGCAUGGUGGUGGGCGUCUGUAAUCCCAGCUACUUGGGAGGCUGAGGCAGGAGAAUCACUUGAACCUGGGAGGUGGAGGUUGCAGUGAGCCAAGAUUGUGCCACUGCACUCCAGC